GUGGAAGCAAACCCUUCUGGGACCAAAGGACUCCAGUUAUUUUUUAGGGAUACUGAAGACUUAGUCAAGGUGACACUUACCUUGGGCUUUUCAGCAGCUGUAAAAUACCCAGGUCUGGUAGCUUCCACUCUCGCUGUCUCAUUUCCACUGUGCAGGAGGAGUUGAUCAGAUUCAGCAGCCCAUUCAUGUUUGGUUUACAGCUGAAGCAGUGAAUCACAACAGCAGAUAAGUACCAUAAUUAUGAAUUUCAAGCUCUGAAAAGAUGAGAAAGACAUUAGUGGUGAUGAAGUAACGAACAGACACUUAACCUAUCAAAGAUCCUUCAUGAAAGAAGUACCUGUGGAGUUGUUGAUUAGACAAUGUCAUGUCUAAAAAAAGUCCUUUACUGUCCUUACUUACAAAUAAAAUAUGAAAAAGGUUCUUAUUUACA
Chelonia mydas (Green sea turtle) is the source of this 430-nucleotide long non-coding RNA. RefSeq lists it as uncharacterized. NCBI's taxonomy places the organism in Eukaryota, Metazoa, Chordata, Testudines, Cheloniidae. The transcript is spliced from 3 exons. The record is from RefSeq and is a predicted model, not a curated record.